UAAGCGUCCACUCCAUAUUUAAAAAUGA
This 28-nucleotide non-coding RNA is filed under the name Bombyx mori (domestic silkworm). Lineage: Eukaryota; Metazoa; Arthropoda; Insecta; Lepidoptera; Bombycidae. The record is from RNAcentral.